CUACGGGUUGCUGCAGUGAGGAAUUUUGCGCAAUGGGCGAAAGCCUGACGCAGCAACGCCGCGUGAGUGAUGAAGGCCUUCGGGUCGUAAAGCUCUGUCAAGUGGGAAGAACCUAUGUAAUGUUAAUAUCAUUAUAUACUGACGGUACCACUGAAGGAAGCACCGGCUAACUCCGUGCCAGCAGCCGCGGUAAUACGGGGGGUGCAAGCGUUAUUCGGAAUCAUUGGGCGUAAAGGGCACGUAGGCGGCCUGGUAAGUCAGAUGUGAAAGCCCGGGGCUUAACCCCGGAAGUGCAUUUGAUACUGUCAGGCUUGAGUAUGGGAGAGGGAAGUGGAAUUCCUGGUGUAGAGGUGAAAUUCGUAGAUAUCAGGAGGAACACCGGUGGCGAAGGCGACUUCCUGGACCAAUACUGACGCUGAGGUGCGAAGGCGUGGGUAGCAAACAGGAUUAGAUACCCCUGUAGUC
Molecule: ribosomal RNA, 465 nt
Filed under: uncultured bacterium
Lineage: Bacteria
Description: partial 16S ribosomal RNA
Rfam family: Bacterial small subunit ribosomal RNA
Source: RNAcentral